AGAGUUUGAUCCUGGCUCAGGACGAACGCUGGCGGCGUGCUUAACACAUGCAAGUCGAGCGAUGAAGCUCCUUCGGGAGUGGAUUAGCGGCGGACGGGUGAGUAACACGUGGGUAACCUGCCUCAUAGAGGGGAAUAGCCUUUCGAAAGGAAGAUUAAUACCGCAUAAGAUUGUAACUUCGCAUGAAGUAGCAAUUAAAGGAGUAAUCCGCUAUGAGAUGGACCCGCGUCGCAUUAGCUAGUUGGUGAGGUAACGGCUCACCAAGGCGACGAUGCGUAGCCGACCUGAGAGGGUGAUCGGCCACAUUGGGACUGAGACACGGCCCAGACUCCUACGGGAGGCAGCAGUGGGGAAUAUUGCACAAUGGGGGAAACCCUGAUGCAGCAACGCCG
This 392-nucleotide ribosomal RNA is filed under the name uncultured bacterium. Its description in RNAcentral is "bacterial SSU rRNA". It matches the Rfam family "Bacterial small subunit ribosomal RNA", at positions 8 to 399 of the family's 1533-position model. The record is from RNAcentral.